UACGAAGGGAGCUAGCGUUGUUCGGAAUAACUGGGCGUAAAGGGCGCGUAGGCGGUUUGGUAAGUUUGAUGUGAAAGCCCUGGGCUUAACCCGGGAACUGCAUUGGAUACUGCCAGACUAGAGUGUUGUAGGGGAUGAUGGAAUUAUGCAUGGAGAGGUGGAAUUCAUAGAUAUGCAUAGGAACACCAGUAGCGAAGGCGAUCAUCUGGACAACAACUGACGUUGAGGCGCGAAAGCGUGGGGAGCAAACAGGAUUAGAUACCCUGGUAGUCCACGCUGUAAACGAUGAAUGCUAGACGUUGGGCGCGAGCUCAGUGUCGAAGUUAACACGAUAAGCAUUCCGCCUGGGGAGUACGGUCGCAAGAUUAAA
RNAcentral lists this ribosomal RNA (370 nucleotides) under uncultured bacterium. RNAcentral describes it as "bacterial SSU rRNA". It matches the Rfam family "Bacterial small subunit ribosomal RNA", at positions 524 to 898 of the family's 1533-position model. The record is from RNAcentral.